GAUGAACGCUGGCGGCGUGCCUAAUACAUGCAAGUCGAGCGAACAGACGAGGAGCUUGCUCCUCUGACGUUAGCGGCGGACGGGUGAGUAACACGUGGAUAACCUACCUAUAAGACUGGGAUAACUUCGGGAAACCGGAGCUAAUACCGGAUAAUAUAUUGAACCGCAUGGUUCAAUAGUGAAAGACGGUUUUGCUGUCACUUAUAGAUGGAUCCGCGCCGCAUUAGCUAGUUGGUAAGGUAACAGCUUACCAAGGCAACGAUGCGUAGCCGACCUGAGAGGGUGAUCGGCCACACUGGAACUGAGACACGGUCCAGACGACUACGGGAGGCAGCAGUAGGGAAUCUUCCGCAAUGGGCGAAAGCAUGACGGAGAAACGCCGAGUGAGAGAUGAAGGUCUUCGGAUCGUAAAACUCUGUUAUUAGGGAAGAACAAAUGUGUAAGGAACUAUGCACGGCUUGACGGUACCUAAUAAGAAAGCCACGGCUAACUACGUG
Molecule: ribosomal RNA, 497 nt
Filed under: uncultured bacterium
Lineage: Bacteria
Description: partial 16S ribosomal RNA
Rfam family: Bacterial small subunit ribosomal RNA
Source: RNAcentral